UUUAACUUUUAACUUUUUGUUAUUGGUGCUUAUUAACUUAAUUUAACUGAGUUAAAAAAAAAUCAUUAACUUGCCUAGCCUUGCAGUUGAUGACAGAACUGAUGUUCAUGAAAGUCAGCUUAAGAAUAUGAGAAUUUGUUCAGUUCAUUUUAAAAUUGGUAAACCAGCCAUAUACAAUGAUUAUGAAAAUCCAGAUUGGAUACCAACCUUAAGCAUGGGCUAAAACUCGAGAAAAGGCAAAGCUACUCCUGCAAUUAAAAGGUACAAUCAUGCAAGUAGAAUAAUGGAAUUAAAACAUACGCGUUUGUUUCAAAAUACUGUAAAAUUAAAUGUGGUUGAUUCUUCUGAACCCAGUAUGAGCAUUGAUGUACAAAAUAAUUUGUUGAAUGAUGCUAUUGAAAAAAGUGGAACAGCUUGUAAUACUAAUCUUAAGUUAAAAGAUGACAGCGAGUUGGAGAAUUUAUGAGAUAAGUGUUCUGAAUUACAAAAUUAAAUAGAUUAUUUUAACUUGACUGAAAAAACAUUUAAUGGGUGGGAAAAAAUGUAUACUUAUUACACAGGACUUGAAUCAAUUGAUGUUUUUAAUUUAAUAUUAGAGCACAUUAAAUAUGGAUUAACUGAUAAUAAUCAGAGAUUAAACAAAUUUCAAAAACUUCUAUUGUUUCUAAUGAAAUUAAGAUUAAAUAUUCCAUUUACUGAUUUAAGUAAUAGAUUUAAUGUAACAUGUACAACAGUAUCAAUUAUUUUCAGAAAAGUCAUCAUAUUGUUAGAACACAUGUUUCUAAAAAUCUAACGUAUUGGCUAGAGAGGGAAGCUCUACGCAGUAAAAUUCCAAGAUCAUUUUUUUAAAUAUUUGGCAAUUCAGUUUCUUUUAUUAUUGAUUGUUUUGAAAUUGUUAUAGAAAAACCGUCAAAUUUAAAAGCAAGGGCACAACCAUGGUCAUCUUACAAAAAUAAAAAUACUGUAAAGUAUCUUAUAGCUAUAACUCCCUAUACCUGAGGGAUGGGUUGGCAGAGUUAGCGAUAAACAUAUAUUUGAAAAUUAUAACUUUAAAUAAUUUAAUUCUAGGAGAUGUUGUUUUGGCCGACAGAGGAUUUACUAUUAAUGAAAGUGUUGGUUUUCAUUGUGCUACAUUAAAGACUCCAGCAUUUAAAAAGGGUUUACCCCAGUUGCAUCCAUGCUCUAUAGAAGAAACUAGAAAAAUUGCAUUUGUCAGAAUUUUUAUUGAGAGUAUUAUUGGUCUGACUAGAUAAAAAUUUUAAAUUUUAAAUGGUCCAGCACAAAUAACCACUCUAAAAUAUCAAGAUGAUGAGACAUGAUAAUUAGAUUCUAUUGUAACUGUUUGCUGUGCAUUAAUAAAUAUGUGUAGUUCAGUCAUACCUUAAAGUUAAAAUUAUUAUAAUUGUAUUAAAAAAUAUGUAAUAUGAACAUUCAAAACUAUGUAAAUA
Molecule: long non-coding RNA, 1448 nt
Organism: Acyrthosiphon pisum (pea aphid)
Lineage: Eukaryota; Metazoa; Arthropoda; Insecta; Hemiptera; Aphididae
Exons: 3
Source: RefSeq, a predicted model, not a curated record